AAUCAACGCUGGCGGCGUGCCUAACACAUGCAAGUCGAACGAGAAGGGGACUUCGGUCCCUGAGUACAGUGGCGCACGGGUGAGUAACACGUGACUUAUCUACCCUCGAGUGGGGAAUAACUUCGGGAAACCGAGGCUAAUACCGCAUAAUACCCACGGGUCAAAGGAGCAAUUCGCUUGAGGAGGAGGUCGCGGCCGAUUAGUUAGUUGGCGGGGUAAUGGCCCCACCCAAGACGGUGAUCGGUAUCCGGCCUGAGAGGGCGCACGGACACACUGGAACUGAAACACGGUCCAGACUCCUACGGGAGGCAGCAGUGGGGAAUUUUGCGCAAUGGGGGAAACCCUGACGCAGCAACGCCGCGUGGAGGAUGAAGUCUCUUGGGACGUAAACUCCUUUUCGAUCGGGACGAUUAUGACGGUACCGGAAGAAGAAGCCCCGGCUAACUUCGUG
This 451-nucleotide ribosomal RNA is filed under the name uncultured bacterium. RNAcentral's name for it is "bacterial SSU rRNA". It matches the Rfam family "Bacterial small subunit ribosomal RNA", at positions 32 to 507 of the family's 1533-position model. The record is from RNAcentral.